CCAACCCAUGUGAACGUUACCAAACUGUUGCCUCGGCGGGAUCUCUGCCCCGGGUGCGUCGCAGCCCCGGACCAAGGCGCCCGCCGGAGGACCAACCAAAACUCUUUUUGUAUACCCCCUCGCGGGUUUUUUAUAAUCUGAGCCUUCUCGGCGCCUCUCGUAGGCGUUUCGAAAAUGAAUCAAAACUUUCAACAACGGAUCUCUUGGUUCUGGCAUCGAUGAAGAACGCAGCGAAAUGCGAUAAGUAAUGUGAAUUGCAGAAUUCAGUGAAUCAUCGAAUCUUUGAACGCACAUUGCGCCCGCCAGUAUUCUGGCGGGCAUGCCUGUCCGAGCGUCAUUUCAACCCUCGAACCCCUCCGGGGGGUCGGCGUUGGGGAUCGGCCCUGCCUCUUGGCGGUGGCCGUCUCCGAAAUACAGUGGCGGUCUCGCCGCAGCCUCUCCUGCGCAGUAGUUUGCACACUCGCAUCGGGAGCGCGGCGCGUCCACAGCCGUUAAACACCCAACUUCUGAAAUGUUGACCUCGGAUCAGGUAGGAAUACCCGCUGAACUUAAGCAUAUCAAU
RNAcentral lists this ribosomal RNA (562 nucleotides) under Trichoderma harzianum. RNAcentral describes it as "eukaryotic LSU rRNA". The stretch from base 184 to 337 matches the Rfam family "5.8S ribosomal RNA". Lineage: Eukaryota; Fungi; Ascomycota; Sordariomycetes; Hypocreales; Hypocreaceae. The record is from RNAcentral.